RNAcentral lists this ribosomal RNA (449 nucleotides) under uncultured bacterium. RNAcentral's name for it is "partial 16S ribosomal RNA". It matches the Rfam family "Bacterial small subunit ribosomal RNA", at positions 29 to 523 of the family's 1533-position model. The record is from RNAcentral.
AGCGAACGCUGGCGGCAGGCUUAACACAUGCAAGUCGAACGGGCACUUCGGUGCUAGUGGCAGACGGGUGAGUAACACGUGGGAACGUACCUUUCGGUUCGGAAUAAUUCAGGGAAACUUGGACUAAUACCGGAUACGCCCUUUUGGGGAAAGAUUUAUCGCCGAUAGAUCGGCCCGCGUCUGAUUAGCUAGUUGGUGAGGUAAUGGCUCACCAAGGCGACGAUCAGUAGCUGGUCUGAGAGGAUGAUCAGCCACAUUGGGACUGAGACACGGCCCAAACUCCUACGGGAGGCAGCAGUGGGGAAUAUUGGACAAUGGGCGCAAGCCUGAUCCAGCCAUGCCGCGUGAGUGAUGAAGGCCUUAGGGUUGUAAAGCUCUUUUGUCCGGGAAGAUAAUGACUGUACCGGAAGAAUAAGCCCCGGCUAACUUCGUGCCAGCAGCCGCCGUAA